This is a non-coding RNA of Musa acuminata subsp. malaccensis (wild Malaysian banana), 2186 nucleotides long. Lineage: Eukaryota; Viridiplantae; Streptophyta; Magnoliopsida; Zingiberales; Musaceae. The record is from RefSeq and is a predicted model, not a curated record.
AGCAGUAGCAGGCCACAGUGGGUUUUUGGAUUUCCCAGCGACCACCGCAUCCGGAGGAGAUGACGACGCGGCUACAGUCCGUUUGCUGCGUGCACCGCCGCCUUCUCCAACUCUCGCCUCCUUCCUCUACUCCUCCCUCCUGCCCCCGUCGCAGAAGCCUCUCCGGCCCUUCCGCCGUCCUUCCUCCUGUUAACCUUCGAUGGUACGGCCGCAGUUUCCGCUUCCGGAACGCAUCCACAGGUCGAUCGAUUCUGCCGGGCAAGGUGUUAGCCUAUUUGCCCGAUUCAGAGAACUCCAACGGCGCGGUAAAAGAGGCGAAUCCGUCCAGUGUUGAUUCGAACGUUGGAUCCUUGGUUAGCGCGAGGGAUUUCGACGCGGUCCUCCGGUCUGGGUCUCACGCGAGGGGCAGCUUUGACCCCUUUCGUGGGAAGUCGGGUUCUGUGUCUUUCUGCGGAUUGACUCACCAGAUGGUGGAAGAGAGGAAGCUGGUUUCUUCCCCCUUCAAGGACAGCACAGGAUCGCUCGUGUGGAUUUUAGGUCCUCUAGCUCUGAUAUCUUCGCUCGUGGUUCCACAAUUUUUUCUCGGCAACGUUAUCGAGUCGGUUCUACGAGAUGAGAUCCUUGCAGAAAUUGUCGCCUCAUUGUCUUCAGAGGCCAUAUUCUAUGUCGGGCUUGCUGCAUUUCUGUCAGUAACUGAUCAUGUACAACGCCCAUAUCUUGACUUCAGCCCGAAAAGAUGGAGCCUUAUCACCGGCCUCAGAGGCUACCUGUCCUCGGCUUUCUUCACCAUGGGUUUCAAGGUGUUUGCUCCUCUUCUUGCGGCCUAUGUUGUUUGGCCAGUGAUUGGUCUCCCUGCUGUGGUUGCCGUUGCUCCAUUUCUGAUGGGUUGUGCUGCACAAUAUGCAUUUGAGACACACCUCGACAGACGUAAUUCAUCUUGUUGGCCUGUAUUGCCAAUAAUCUUUGAGGUAUAUAGACUGUAUCAGUUGAACAAGGGUGCACAUUUUAUAGAAAGGUUAUUGUUUCUAAUGAGAGGAUCGUCUACGAACACUGCAGUAAUGGAAAGAAGUAGCGCAUUCAUUUCCAUGCUAGCCGUUCUCCAAAUCCUUGGUGUUGUUUGCCUGUGGUCUUUAAUGACUUUUCUUCUAAGACUUUUCCCUUCUAGACCUGUGGCAGAGAACUAUUGAAUUCUCUCGAGCUUUUCUCAAUUUGUCAUGAUAGUGCACAUGAGCAGAGCAGCAUGGUACCUGAGGAACUGUGUGAUUGGUGACUUUGAUGAUGGAUGAUUGUGACGAAAUAGAAUCCACCUCUUUAAAAGCACUAACUGACAAAAUUAGCUGGUGCCAAAAUGGACAGUAUGGGAUUUGAAGCUGAGAAGUGUUGAUAUUCAAUAGCAAGUCUCUUUUACAUUUUCUUCAAGACAAAUAAAAAUUCAUACGAAAGUAAAUGUUGCAUGAUUUGGGCAUGAAGGGUAGAAGAAGGUAAUGUUUCAGACUAAGAUUUCUGUUUGAUGUAGGUAUAAUGUAUGAAAUCUGGGGACUGUGCAUACCAGUUAACGAAAAAGGGAAUUGGUAAAUGGAAAAUGCAAGUGUUAAGAUGUGCGAACAGCAGGCCAGAUCUAUAAUGAUAUUAGAUGAUUCAGAGAUGUUUUCAAAAAGGUCGACUUGUUGGGUGGCCAACCCGGAGAUUGAAUUGUCCAAGAUUUAAGACACAAUCUCUGGGAAAUAAUCCAUCAAGAGAUUGGAUACGAUGAACAUAGUUUUAAAGCUAAAUUCAUGAGCUUGCCUUGCCCAUGGAAGUGGCCAACUUUUCCAGCCAGAAUAAAAAAUUGAAUUUCUUUUGUUACUUUUGGAUUAGUUUCAUCAUCCACUGAAGUGUCGUGAUUUUAAUGCUUGCUUAGCUGCAGUUUAAAUGCCUAUUUGUUAUUUUGUAUAUAUUUUUUCUUGGAUAGAGUAAAGUGAUAGAUAGUAAAUCAUGGCACAUUCUAUUCCAGCUUGAUUGAUAUGUUUUUGAAGUCAUUGCAAAAUUUAGAUAAUGUAUACAUACUAUAGAUGUGAGUCGUAACAGAUGAGAAGAUUAAAUUUAACAAAUCAUUAUUCACAUUCUGUUCCUGGGAACAAUUUGUUACAAUGCAGAUGAAAUUUUUAGUUUUUUUUUCUUGUCUCAAUAAGUGUAUAUCGAAACUU